GGGGGCGACGGGUUUCGACGGGAUGGAUUGAUGUUGAGGGAAGCAUACCGAGGUCUGCCACCUCGUAAAACAGGCAGAGCAGAAUAACUGCCGAAGAAAACUACGCACUGGCUGCUUAAUAGUCCAGCCAGCGCCCUUUACCUCCUCGCCCGCGGGAUGUAAAGGGCGUCGGUCUAUGCGGGAUAGCCACUAAGGGGUGUCCGAAACCCUUAAUGGCGAAACUUCUUUCGGACCCUUCCCCUUCAUGCCCUGCCUGUGGGGCAGGGGUGGAAGGUAUUCGAUACACAGGCUAAGUAUGUAGAUGCCCUCAGCUGAAACAUCCCGGACGUGGGUUCGACUCCCACCGCCUCCACCA
This 355-nucleotide transfer-messenger RNA is filed under the name bacterium. RNAcentral's name for it is "DRQE01 sp011371515 Standard tmRNA". It matches the Rfam family "transfer-messenger RNA". Rfam says of the family: Bacterial tmRNA, also known as 10Sa RNA or SsrA, is named for its dual tRNA and mRNA-like properties. Its role is to liberate the mRNA from a stalled ribosome. To accomplish this part of the tmRNA is used as a reading frame that ends in a translation stop signal. The record is from RNAcentral. RNAcentral also lists the same sequence under 1 other name.